This 216-nucleotide ribosomal RNA is filed under the name Glomeromycotina sp. RNAcentral's name for it is "partial small subunit ribosomal RNA". The stretch from base 40 to 216 matches the Rfam family "Eukaryotic small subunit ribosomal RNA", at positions 686 to 864 of the family's 1831-position model. The record is from RNAcentral. Lineage: Eukaryota; Fungi; Glomeromycota.
GGGUCAGUAGGUUGGUCGUGCCACCGGUACGUACUGGUCUCACUGAUUCCUCCUUCCUGAAGUACCGUAAUGCCAUUAAUUUGGUGUUGCGGGGAAACAGGACUGUUACUUUGAAAAAAUUAGAGUGUUUAAAGCAAGCUAACGCUUGAAUACAUUAGCAUGGAAUAAUGAAAUAGGACGAUCGAUCCCAUUUUGUUGGUUUCUAGGAUUGACGUA